AAUAUGGUUGAUCCUGCCAGUAGUCAUAUGCUUGUCUUAAAGAUUAAGCCAUGCAUGUCUAAGUAUAAAUAGUAUACAGUGAAACUGCGAAUGGCUCAUUAGAACAGUUAUAGUUUAUUUGAUAGUGCAAAUUACAUGGAUAACCGUGGUAAUUCUAGAGCUAAUACAUGCGCAAAUACCGGACGCAAGAAUGGUAGCAUUUAUUAGAUUUAACCAUCACAUGGUGAAUCAUAGUAACUUAGCUGACCGCGUGUAUACGUGGUAAAUCAUUCAAGUUUCUGCCCUAUCAGCUUUCGAUGGUAGUGUAUUGGACUACCAUGGCAGUCACGGGUAACGGAGAAUUAGGGUUCGAUUCCGGAGAGGGAGCCUGAGAAACGGCUACCACAUCUAAGGAAGGCAGCAGGCGCGUAAAUUACCCAAUCCCGAUUCGGGGAGGUAGUGACAAGAAAUAGCAACUCGUGCGGGUUUCCGUUACGGGAUUGCAAUGAGAUAAGUCCAAAUCCGUAAACGAUUAACAAUUGGAGGGCAAGUCUGGUGCCAGCAGCCGCGGUAAUUCCAGCUCCAAUAGCGUAUACUUAAGUUGUUGCAGUUAAAAAGCUCGUAGUUGAAAUUCGAGUCAGUUACUAGUUGGCUCUUCGUCAAUUAGUUAAUUGAUUCUCCGUCUAUAAUCCCUUUUGCGCUUUAGGGUUGCAGCUGGGUGAGUAGACAAUUUACCUUGAAAAAAUUAGAGUGUUCCAGGCAGGUCUUCGCCGGAAUACAUUAGCAUGGAAUAAUGGAAUAGGACUUGGGUCUUUUGUUGGUUUUAGGACUUAAGUAAUGAUUAAUAGGGACAGAUGGGGGCAUUAGUAUUUAAUUGUCAGAGGUGAAAUUCUUGGAUUUAUUAAAGACUAACUUAUGCGAAAGCAUUUGCCAAGGAUGUUUUCAUUAAUCAAGAACGAAAGUUAGGGGAUCAAAGACGAUCAGAUACCGUCGUAGUCUUAACUAUAAACUAUACCGACUCGAGAUCGGAAGGGUAAUAUAUUAGUCCCUUUCGGCAUCGUAAGAGAAAUCAAAGUCUUUGGGUUCUGGGGGGAGUAUGGUCGCAAGGCUGAAACUUAAAGGAAUUGACGGAAGGGCACCACCAGGAGUGGAGCCUGCGGCUUAAUUUGACUCAACACGGGGAAACUUACCAGGUCAAAACAUGGAUGGGAUUGACAGAUUGAAAGCUCUUUCUUGAUUCUAUGGGUGGUGGUGCAUGGCCGUUCUUAGUUGGUGGAGUGAUUUGUCUGGUUAAUUCCGAUAACGAACGAGACCUUAACCUGCUAACUAGUUUGCUUCUGAACAAGAGGUAUAACUUCUUAGAGGGACUAUGUAUGUAAGUGCAUGGAAGUUUAAGGCAAUAACAGGUCUGUGAUGCCCCUAGACGUCCUGGGCCGCACGCGCGCUACACUGACACGUUCAGCGAGCUUAUUUACCUGUCCCGAAAGGGCACGGGAAAUCUUGUUAGGACGUGUCGUGCUGGGGAUAGAUCUUUGCAAUUAUAGAUCUUGAACGAGGAAUUCCUUGUAAGCACAGGUCAUCAGCCUGUGCUGAAUACGUCCCUGCCCUUUGUACACACCGCCCGUCGCUCCUACCGAUUUCGAGUGAUGUGGUGAACUAUCUGGACUGCAAGUGGGCUCGAACCAUUUGCGGGAAGUUUCGUAAACCUUAUCACUUAGAGGAAGGAGAAGUCGUAACAAGGUUUCCGUAGGUGAACCUGCAGAAGGAUCA
RNAcentral lists this ribosomal RNA (1749 nucleotides) under Paramecium jenningsi. Its description in RNAcentral is "SSU rRNA". It matches the Rfam family "Eukaryotic small subunit ribosomal RNA". The record is from RNAcentral. Lineage: Eukaryota; Ciliophora; Oligohymenophorea; Peniculida; Parameciidae.